CAUUACCGUGCUCCAGCUUCUGAUCUCCUCGCUGUUCGUGCUUGCCAUCAUCAUCGAAGUGGAGCUGUGCCAUUCCUGUCCCACCAGACUUACAAUUUCUUCUUUCCUUUCUGCUUGAAACUGCCGAGAUUUUCCCCCUUCCUCUGUCCAUAUGAUCUUGCAAGAAUUCAAACUUUCCUCUCCCUUCACCUUCGUCUCUCUCUGUCCAUCGUUGGUAACUGGAGGAAAACGCCGAAAUCCUCCUCCUUCGAAGGUGCUGUGGCAUGCGCGCAUCGGGUUUCUCCCUCCCCUGUUCUUCACCGUGAACUUCUCUUCAUCUGCUCCCUCUGUUUGAGCUGCUGUGACUUAGAGCAUCAGGAUAUUUCAAAGAGGAGAAAUUUGCUUGAGGUGGCAAGAGGUGAUUUUUGAAUUUUGGAAAUACUUCAGCAAGUACCAUCACAGACCAAACAGAAACCAUAAACAUGAAGCGAAAUCAUGAAGACGGAUUAACCAGAUUGUGAGUGGACAGAGUAUGG
Long non-coding RNA from Prosopis cineraria, 515 nucleotides. RefSeq lists it as uncharacterized. The record is from RefSeq and is a predicted model, not a curated record. The transcript is spliced from 3 exons. NCBI's taxonomy places the organism in Eukaryota, Viridiplantae, Streptophyta, Magnoliopsida, Fabales, Fabaceae.